GGCUUUUCCCUUGAAGAGAAAUACUAUAGGACAACAAAGCCUUCCAAGUGGAAGGUGUUGGUCGUCUGACUUCUCCUUUUGCUUAGCAUCUCCAAAGUUGUUUGGCCUUCCUGCCACUCACAUAUGGAAAUGCUAAGAGGUGUGACUUUCCACAGGGGGAUUAAGCAGGUUUAUCCUCAAGUUCAUGUAUUUUAGGGAAGGGUCCCUAUGGAAUUUGAGAAACUAGAAACGUAUUGACUGAGGAUUAUCCAAGCAUAGGUCCCCCUCACAGAAUUUCCAUGUACCUUCAGAGAUAUGUGGACCCCAAGGGAAUGCCAGAUAGCUAUUAGAUAAAAUUCCCUGCCUCCUGCCAAUAUGUUUUUCUCCCUAUUCUUUUAUUCCAGAGAGAGAGAGAGAGAGAGAGAGACAGAGAGAGAGAGAGAGAGAGGGAGAGAGAAAGACAGUAUUUCCCCACACAUUGGUUCACAACGUUUAACCCACCCUCACCUCAAGGGUGAAUAGUGCACUCAUGAAUACUUGGCUUAGAGAAAGACAGGGGGCUGCUGGAGACGUUAAACUUCCAGGAAAAGUUUAGGAAGUGAUCCCAAAGGUUUAGAAUAGCAAACAAACAAAUAAGGGAACCUGAACGCCAUCGGAAGAAAUCAUUGCCUCUGCAGGUUGUGCUUUGCUUUCUUCAAAUAGGCAUGCGGAUUUCAGAUGGGAAUCGUGGGAUCGUAUUUCAUCAGGGUACGCUCAAAACUUAACAAGAGCCCUUCCCUCCACGCGCCUGCAGCACUCAGCCAUUAAUACUGAGAAUCUUUACCGUGAGAAGCCAAGAUUCUUACCUUCCCAGAGUAUGAGUCAACAUUUGAUGUGCCUUCCAAGAAAAAGACAGAAGUGUAAUCUUCGGCGGCACGAGUGGAUGGACCUCUGGUUCUGGGAUGUUGGGGUGAUUCACCAUGCUUUAUACUCCCUGCCUGCUGUUCACCUCUGGUUCUGACAGCCUCAUUCUAACGGGGCAGCGGGAUGGUAAGGGGGACUCAGCAGCUCCUUCCUACCCAGGAACCAAGGAUUACUCAGUCAUUGGUGAAUGAUGUCAUGUGCAGAGCACAUGGGGGAACCGGGGAUGUUUCUCCUAGAGAAAAGGGCAGGCAGGAUAAGGGCUAGUUUCAAAUUAUCUGAAUGGCUGCCUUUCUCGAAGAGUGAUGAACUUUUAUUAAAAGCUAAAGAAUGGGGCGCCUGGGUGGCGCAGUCGGUUAAGCGUCUGACUUCAGCCAGGUCACGAUCUCGCGGUCCGUGAGUUCGAGCCCCGCAUCAGGCUCUGGGCUGAUGGCUCGGAGCCUGGAGCCUGUUUCCGAUUCUGUGUCUCCCUCUCUCUCUGCCCCUCCCCCGUUCAUGCUCUGUCUCUCUCUGUCCCAAAAAUAAAUAAAUAAACG
Neofelis nebulosa (Clouded leopard) is the source of this 1415-nucleotide long non-coding RNA. RefSeq lists it as uncharacterized. NCBI's taxonomy places the organism in Eukaryota, Metazoa, Chordata, Mammalia, Carnivora, Felidae. The record is from RefSeq and is a predicted model, not a curated record. The transcript is spliced from 2 exons.